GUAGCGGCGAGCGAAAUUGGACUAGCCCUUAAGCUUUACACGCGUUAGACGAACGGUCUGGAAAGUCCGACGAUACAGGGUGAUAGUCCCGUAGUUGACGACGUGUGUUCAGUGAAAUCGAGUAGGGCGGGACACGUGAUAUCCUGUCUGAAUAUGGGGGGACCAUCCUCCAAGGCUAAAUACUACUGACUGACCGAUAGUGAACCAGUACCGUGAGGGAAAGGCGAAAAGAACCCCUGUGAGGGGAGUGAAAUAGAACCUGAAACCGUGUACGUACAAGCAGUAGGAGCAGGCUUUGUCCUGUGACUGCGUACCUUUUGUAUAAUGGGUCAGCGACUUAUAUUCAGUGGCAAGGUUAACCAUCUAGGGGAGCCGUAGGGAAACCGAGUCUUAACUGGGCGUUCAGUCUCUGGAUAUAGACCCGAAACCAGGUGAUCUAGCCAUGGGCAGGUUGAAGGUUGAGUAACAUCAACUGGAGGACCGAACCGACUAAUGUUGAAAAAUUAGCGGAUGACUUGUGGCUAGGGGUGAAAGGCCAAUCAAACCUGGAGAUAGCUGGUUCUCCCCGAAAGCUAUUUAGGUAGCGCCUCGGACGAAUACUACUGGGGGUAGAGCACUGUUAAGGCUAGGGGGUCAUCCCGACUUACCAACCCUUUGCAAACUCCGAAUACCAGUAAGUACUAUCCGGGAGACACACGGCGGGUGCUAACGUCCGUCGUGGAGAGGGAAACAACCCAGACCGCCAGCUAAGGUCCCAAAUUACUACUAAGUGGGAAACGAUGUGGGAAGGCUCAGACAGCCAGGAUGUUGGCUUAGAAGCAGCCAUCAUUUAAAGAAAGCGUAAUAGCUCACUGGUCGAGUCGGCCUGCGCGGAAGAUGUAACGGGGCUAAGUAGUAAACCGAAGCUGCGGCAAUGUGCUUUUGCACAUUGGGUAGGGGAGCGUUCUGUAAGCGGUUGAAGGUGUGUGGUAACGCAUGCUGGACGUAUCAGAAGUGCGAAUGCUGACAUGAGUAACGAUAAAGGGGGUGAAAAACCUCCUCGCCGGAAGACCAAGGGUUCCUGUCCAACGUUAAUCGGGGCAGGGUAAGUCGACCCCUAAGGCGAGGCCGAAAGGCGUAGUCGAUGGGAAACGGGUUAAUAUUCCCGUACUUCUUACAAUUGCGAUGGGGGGACGGAGAAGGCUAGGUGGGCCUGGCGACGGUUGUCCAGGUUCAAGUGCGUAGGCUUAAGAGUUAGGUAAAUCCGGCUCUUUUUAAGGCUGAGACACGACGUCGAGCACCUACGGGUGUGAAGUCAUUGAUGCCAUGCUUCCAGGAAAAGCCUCUAAGCUUCAGAUUGUAAGGAAUCGUACCCCAAACCGACACAGGUGGUCGGGUAGAGAAUACCAAGGCGCUUGAGAGAACUCGGGUGAAGGAACUAGGCAAAAUGGUACCGUAACUUCGGGAGAAGGUACGCUCUCGACGGUGAAGUCCCUCGCGGAUGGAGCUAUUGAGAGUCGCAGAUACCAGGUGGCUGCAACUGUUUAUUAAAAACACAGCACUGUGCAAAAUCGUAAGAUGACGUAUACGGUGUGACGCCUGCCCGGUGCCGGAAGGUUAAUUGAUGGGGUUAGACUUCGGUCGAAGCUCUUGAUCGAAGCCCCGGUAAACGGCGGCCGUAACUAUAACGGUCCUAAGGUAGCGAAAUUCCUUGUCGGGUAAGUUCCGACCUGCACGAAUGGCGUAAUGAUGGCCACGCUGUCUCCACCCGAGACUCAGUGAAAUUGAAAUCGCUGUGAAGAUGCAGUGUACCCGCGGCUAGACGGAAAGACCCCGUGAACCUUUACUACAGCUUGGCACUGAACAUUGACCCUACAUGUGUAGGAUAGGUGGGAGGCUUUGAAGCACGUACGCCAGUAUGUGUGGAGCCGUCCUUGAAAUACCACCCUUGUAGUGUUGAUGUUCUAACGUCGACCCCUAAUCGGGGUUGCGGACAGUGCCUGGUGGGUAGUUUGACUGGGGCGGUCUCCUCCCAAAGAGUAACGGAGGAGCACGAAGGUGGGCUAAUCACGGUUGGACAUCGUGAGGUUAGUGCAAUGGCAUAAGCCCGCUUGACUGCGAGAAUGACAAUUCGAGCAGGUGCGAAAGCAGGUCAUAGUGAUCCGGUGGUUCUGAAUGGAAGGGCCAUCGCUCAACGGAUAAAAGGUACUCCGGGGAUAACAGGCUGAUACCGCCCAAGAGUUCAUAUCGACGGCGGUGUUUGGCACCUCGAUGUCGGCUCAUCACAUCCUGGGGCUGAAGUCGGUCCCAAGGGUAUGGCUGUUCGCCAUUUAAAGUGGUACGCGAGCUGGGUUUAGAACGUCGUGAGACAGUUCGGUCCCUAUCUGCCGUGGGCGUUGGAAGAUUGAAGGGGGCUGCUCCUAGUACGAGAGGACCGGAGUGGACGAACCUCUGGUGUUCGGGUUGUGUCGCCAGACGCAUUGCCCGGUAGCUAAGUUCGGAAUCGAUAACCGCUGAAAGCAUCUAAGCGGGAAGCGAGCCCUGAGAUGAGUCUUCCCUGAUACUUUAAGUAUCCUAAAGGGUUGUCGGAGACUACGACGUUGAUAGGUCAGGUGUGUAAGUGCUGUGAGGCAUUGAGCUAACUGAUACUAAUUGCCCGUGAGGCUUAACCAU
This 2652-nucleotide ribosomal RNA is filed under the name Vibrio parahaemolyticus. RNAcentral's name for it is "partial 23S ribosomal RNA". It matches the Rfam family "Bacterial large subunit ribosomal RNA". Lineage: Bacteria; Pseudomonadati; Pseudomonadota; Gammaproteobacteria; Vibrionales; Vibrionaceae. The record is from RNAcentral.